GACGAACGCUAGCGGCGUGCUUAACACAUGCAAGUCGAGCGGUAAGGCCCUUCGGGGUACACGAGCGGCGAACGGGUGAGUAACACGUGGGUGAUCUGCCUUGCACUUCGGGAUAAGCCUGGGAAACCGGGUCUAAUACCGGAUAUGACCACGAGAUGCAUGUCUUGUGGUGGAAAGAUUUAUCGGUGCGAGAUGGGCCCGCGGCCUAUCAGCUUGUUGGUGAGGUAACGGCUCACCAAGGCGACGACGGGUAGCCGACCUGAGAGGGUGACCGGCCACACUGGGACUGAGACACGGCCCAGACUCCUACGGGUGGCAG
Molecule: ribosomal RNA, 319 nt
Filed under: uncultured Actinomycetes bacterium
Lineage: Bacteria; Bacillati; Actinomycetota; Actinomycetes
Description: bacterial SSU rRNA
Rfam family: Bacterial small subunit ribosomal RNA
Source: RNAcentral